Molecule: ribosomal RNA, 506 nt
Filed under: uncultured bacterium
Lineage: Bacteria
Description: partial 16S ribosomal RNA
Rfam family: Bacterial small subunit ribosomal RNA
Source: RNAcentral
AUUGAACGCUGGCGGCAGGCCUAACACAUGCAAGUCGAACGGUAGCACAGAGGAGCUUGCUCCUUGGGUGACGAGUGGCGGACGGGUGAGUAAUGUCUGGGAAACUGCCCGAUGGAGGGGGAUAACUACUGGAAACGGUAGCUAAUACCGAAUAACGUCUUCGGACCAAAGUGGGGGACCUUAGGGCCUCACACCAUCGGAUGGGCCCAGAUGGGAUUAGCUAGUAGGUGGGGUAAUGGCUCACCUAGGCGACGAUCCCUAGCUGGUCUGAGAGGAUGACCAGCCACACUGGAACUGAGACACGGUCCAGACUCCUACGGGAGGCAGCAGUGGGGAAUAUUGCACAAUGGGCGCAAGCCUGAUGCAGCCAUGCCGCGUGUAUGAAGAAGGCCUUCGGGUUGUAAAGUACUUUCAGCGGGGAGGAAGGCGAUGUGGUUAAUAACCGCAUCGAUUGACGUUACCCGCAGAAGAAGCACCGGCUAACUCCGUGCCAGCCGCCGCGGUAA